UGGGGAAUAUUGGACAAUGGGCGAAAGCCUGAUCCAGCCAUGCCGCGUGUGUGAAUAUGGUCUUCGGAUUGUAAAGCACUUUAAGUUGGGAGGAUGGUCAGUAAGCGAAUACCUUGCUUUUUUGACGUUACCGACAGAAUAAGCACCUGCUAACUCUGUGCCAGCAGCCGCGGUAAUACAGAGGGUGCAAGCGUUAAUCGGAAUUACUGGGCGUAAAGCGCGCGUUGGUGGCUAGUUAAGUUGAAUGUGAAAGCCCCGGGCUCAACCUGGGAAGUGCAUCCAAAACUGGGGAGCUGGAGUAGGGCAGCGGGUAGUGGAAUUUCGUGAGUAGCGGUGAGAUGCGUAGAUAUAGGAAGGAAAGCCAGUGGCGAAGGCGACCACCUGGGCUAAUACUGACACUGAGGUGCGAAAGAGUGGGGAGCAAGCAGG
RNAcentral lists this ribosomal RNA (429 nucleotides) under Pseudomonadota bacterium. RNAcentral describes it as "Proteobacteria bacterium partial 16S ribosomal RNA". It matches the Rfam family "Bacterial small subunit ribosomal RNA", at positions 355 to 776 of the family's 1533-position model. The record is from RNAcentral. Lineage: Bacteria; Pseudomonadati; Pseudomonadota.